CCUACGGGAGGCAGCAGUGAGGAAUAUUGGUCAAUGGCCGGAAGGCUGAACCAGCCAAGUCGCGUGAAGGACGAAGGCGCUAAGGAUUGUAAACUUCUUUUAUCAGGGAAUAAAGUCACGCACGUGAGGCUGUUUGCAGGUACUUGAUGAAAAAGCAUCGGCUAACUCCGUGCCAGCAGCCGCGGUAAUACGGAGGAUGCGAGCGUUAUCCGGAUUUAUUGGGGUUAAAGGGUGCGUAGGGCGUCUUUUAAGGCUGCGGUGAAAGUUCCGGGCUCAACCCGGGCCGUGCCGUGGAAACUGGAGGUCUUGAGUGGGCGGGAAGUAGGCGGAAUGCGUGGUGUAGCGGUGAAAUGCAUAGAUAUCACGCAGAACUCCGAUUGCGAAGGCAGCAUACCGGCGCCCAACUGACGCUGAGGCACGAAAGCGUGGGGAUCGAACAGGAUUAGAUACCCGAGUAGUC
This 460-nucleotide ribosomal RNA is filed under the name uncultured bacterium. RNAcentral's name for it is "partial 16S ribosomal RNA". It matches the Rfam family "Bacterial small subunit ribosomal RNA", at positions 338 to 795 of the family's 1533-position model. The record is from RNAcentral.